This 672-nucleotide ribosomal RNA is filed under the name Enterobacter ludwigii. RNAcentral describes it as "partial 23S ribosomal RNA". It matches the Rfam family "Bacterial large subunit ribosomal RNA", at positions 2259 to 2925 of the family's 2925-position model. Lineage: Bacteria; Pseudomonadati; Pseudomonadota; Gammaproteobacteria; Enterobacterales; Enterobacteriaceae. RNAcentral also lists the same sequence under 2 other names. The record is from RNAcentral.
UGGUGGGUAGUUUGACUGGGGCGGUCUCCUCCCAAAGAGUAACGGAGGAGCACGAAGGUUAGCUAAUCCUGGUCGGACAUCAGGAGGUUAGUGCAAUGGCAUAAGCUAGCUUGACUGCGAGAGUGACGGCUCGAGCAGGUGCGAAAGCAGGUCAUAGUGAUCCGGUGGUUCUGAAUGGAAGGGCCAUCGCUCAACGGAUAAAAGGUACUCCGGGGAUAACAGGCUGAUACCGCCCAAGAGUUCAUAUCGACGGCGGUGUUUGGCACCUCGAUGUCGGCUCAUCACAUCCUGGGGCUGAAGUAGGUCCCAAGGGUAUGGCUGUUCGCCAUUUAAAGUGGUACGCGAGCUGGGUUUAGAACGUCGUGAGACAGUUCGGUCCCUAUCUGCCGUGGGCGCUGGAGAAUUGAGGGGGGCUGCUCCUAGUACGAGAGGACCGGAGUGGACGCAUCACUGGUGUUCGGGUUGUCAUGCCAAUGGCACUGCCCGGUAGCUAAAUGCGGAAGAGAUAAGUGCUGAAAGCAUCUAAGCACGAAACUUGCCCCGAGAUGAGUUCUCCCUGAGACUUUAAGUCUCCUGAAGGAACGUUGAAGACUACGACGUUGAUAGGUCGGGUGUGUAAGCGCAGCGAUGCGUUGAGCUAACCGAUACUAAUGAACCGUGAGGCUUAACCUU